Molecule: long non-coding RNA, 1440 nt
Organism: Syngnathus typhle (broad-nosed pipefish)
Lineage: Eukaryota; Metazoa; Chordata; Actinopteri; Syngnathiformes; Syngnathidae
Exons: 6
Source: RefSeq, a predicted model, not a curated record
AGCCGAUUGCUUGCUUUACAUUAUUUCAUCCCCUCGCAAGUAGUCUUAGAAUCCAUUUUAGAAUUGGGUUGUUCCGAUGGAUACUUUAUCUAACAUUGGGGAAUUAUCUUAUUUGCUCAAAGCUGGCUUCGUGUUGGCUGGAUUUCAGUGUGCCGAUCGCGCACAUUUUUCGUCCUCUAUACUUGUUAUAAUUUUGAUCUAUAAUUUUUUUGUUAAUGAUUAUUUAUAUAUCUUUACAAAUGAAAUCUAAUUACACCUUUAAAGUGUUACCUCGGAGUUGAACCUUUUUGGCCCGUUUUGGCUCUCUUUCCAUCGUCUCUAUGAUGAUACUUUUCACAGACCUGUUCUGACUGACUGUGAUUGUACUUUUUUAUUCUGACGUGAGACAAGUUUUUUGGAAAGACUUAUAAAAUGUGCCAUUUUUCCAGCAUGUAGUCCACAUGGUUGAUGCUAAAGCUAGCACCUCGUGCUUCUGUCUUGCAGAUGCAGCGUGUUCGAGAAGCUACGUUAGCAUCAGAUGGAAAGAAUGCAAGAAGCCGAUGGAUGGUCUUCUGAUCUAAAGAUGGAAAAAAAAUUCUGGAACUGUUGGGUCAGAUGUUGACCAACUCAUGACGAGCUGCCAAAUGACAAGAGGCACGACGGAGAUGACACGUCAAACGUAAGUGCUUGAAUUACUUUUAAUGGGUGCAAUGAUGAAGAAACUUAGCUCACUUUGAUUUACAGUGAAAAGACACUAACUCCUGAGCACCCGCCAAGCCUCUUUGUACAUUUCCCCAUACGAGAAUUGAACAGAAACUAAAGUCUUUGUCUUUCAACAGGUUGAAGGUGAGUCGGUGUGCAAAAAGGCUCAUUGGUGCUUGUCUGCUGAAAGUGAUGAGACAAUAUUGGAAUCUCGUUCGUCUGAAUACUGAUGAGAAACACUAAUCUGACAGCAAUCGUAAUUGAAUAGUCACAAUUGGAAGUACCCCCGGCCAAACUUAACUCCUUUUUUUUUUUUUUUUUUUUUUUCUGUUCCGGCAGGUUUGAAUAGAUUUGGUGCACGGCAGCCACCAGGUGAGCAGUAAAGCACACGCAGGUCAACAUGGUCAGUGAGUUUCCUUGGUGAUGUCACACACGCACGUCUUACGCCAUGUGUUGACGCCAGACCUGUAAAGGGGAACCCACUGGUGUUGCCAUGGCAAGAAGGGGACAGCUUGUUGGAGUUUCCAACAGUCUGAAAGGAAACUUGCUGUACCGUGGUAACUCGCUUCUUGAUGUCAAAUGUGGCUAAUGAGUGUUGUCUUUUCAGAUGGCAAGCUGGAGUGACAUGUCACCGGCUGGGACGUUUGAAUUGCCUUCAUCAGCCAUACUGGAGUGACUGCUUUGAAGAUUUAAAGAUAGCAUCGCAAAUUUUCCCUCACAUAUGAAACACAUUUGAAUAAAAUUGGAAAAAAAUCCUAA